UACGAAGGGUGCAAGCGUUACUCGGAAUUACUGGGCGUAAAGCGUGCGUAGGUGGUUUGUUAAGUCUGUUGUGAAAGCCCCGGGCUCAACCUGGGAAUGGCAAUGGAUACUGGCAGGCUAGAGUGCGGUAGAGGGUAGUGGAAGUUCCCGGUGUAGCGGUGAAAUGCGUAGAGAUCGGGAGGAACACCAGUGGCGAAGGCGGCUACCUGGACCAGCACUGACACUGAGGCACGAAAGCGUGGGGAGCAAACAGG
This 254-nucleotide ribosomal RNA is filed under the name uncultured bacterium. Its description in RNAcentral is "partial 16S ribosomal RNA". It matches the Rfam family "Bacterial small subunit ribosomal RNA", at positions 524 to 776 of the family's 1533-position model. The record is from RNAcentral.